Molecule: ribosomal RNA, 689 nt
Filed under: Escherichia coli
Lineage: Bacteria; Pseudomonadati; Pseudomonadota; Gammaproteobacteria; Enterobacterales; Enterobacteriaceae
Also listed under: 1 other name
Description: bacterial SSU rRNA
Rfam family: Bacterial small subunit ribosomal RNA
Source: RNAcentral
UUCCGGAGCUAACGCGUUAAGUCGACCGCCUGGGGAGUACGGCCGCAAGGUUAAAACUCAAAUGAAUUGACGGGGGCCCGCACAAGCGGUGGAGCAUGUGGUUUAAUUCGAUGCAACGCGAAGAACCUUACCUGGUCUUGACAUCCACGGAAGUUUUCAGAGAUGAGAAUGUGCCUUCGGGAACCGUGAGACAGGUGCUGCAUGGCUGUCGUCAGCUCGUGUUGUGAAAUGUUGGGUUAAGUCCCGCAACGAGCGCAACCCUUAUCCUUUGUUGCCAGCGGUCCGGCCGGGAACUCAAAGGAGACUGCCAGUGAUAAACUGGAGGAAGGUGGGGAUGACGUCAAGUCAUCAUGGCCCUUACGACCAGGGCUACACACGUGCUACAAUGGCGCAUACAAAGAGAAGCGACCUCGCGAGAGCAAGCGGACCUCAUAAAGUGCGUCGUAGUCCGGAUUGGAGUCUGCAACUCGACUCCAUGAAGUCGGAAUCGCUAGUAAUCGUGGAUCAGAAUGCCACGGUGAAUACGUUCCCGGGCCUUGUACACACCGCCCGUCACACCAUGGGAGUGGGUUGCAAAAGAAGUAGGUAGCUUAACCUUCGGGAGGGCGCUUACCACUUUGUGAUUCAUGACUGGGGUGAAGUCGUAACAAGGUAACCGUAGGGGAACCUGCGGUUGGAUCACCUCCUUA